Molecule: non-coding RNA, 797 nt
Organism: Drosophila melanogaster (fruit fly)
Lineage: Eukaryota; Metazoa; Arthropoda; Insecta; Diptera; Drosophilidae
Source: Ensembl
GCAGCGACAACUAGCCCGUUUGUCUAAAGAUAUAGCCACCUCCUGGCCAAAUUUCCACCUACUCUAUUUUACGUAGCAGCUCCCUGCUCUACACACCUGGCUAUUUGGCAUCUGGAAUUCGCCUGGGAGUCGUCAUUGUCCAACUUGCUAAACUGUUUGAAUUUGCCAGCGAGAAUCGCAAGUGAAAGUUUUGAUUUUCUGGCUCCGCACUAGCUGACCCCGAUUUAUUUUUAGAAGUGCACUAAAAAUAAAUGCGAAGGUCGCUACGUAAUUGGCUGGGAUUCGCUGGCGUCGGAUGUUGAUUUUCAUAGGGGGUGCAGGGGAAGGGAGCAGGAAGCGGACUCCAACUUGAACGCACUGCACAAACUGCAUAAGGUCAAAGUGUCAACUGCAACAGCAGCAGCGGCAGCGGCAGCAGGCGCCGAAUAAAAAUCCGAAUCGGUUGCGAAUCGGGUUCGGAUCGGAUCGGAUCGGAACGGGCUGGGAUGGGCCUCCGGGCUCCAUUCAUCUGCGGGGCCAAUGGGCAAUGUCAAACAGGUGUGCAGACGGCGUCGACGUCAUUGCCGGAACACCAGCCAACAUCCCCAUCGGUCUCCAACACCAACAUCAUCUUCCCUCCAUUUCCAUCCGAUUCCCAUCUCGAACUUCUGGCACAGCCGUGUUCCAAUUGAUAAGCAAGUGCUGCACUCCAGGUGCUUGUUACAUACAUAUAUCACAUAGGAAACAUAGCUAGCAUCCCUAUAUCACGAAAAUCCGUGCACAAACUUUCUUAAAAGCUAGGAGAAAGGUACAAACAU